Molecule: ribosomal RNA, 253 nt
Filed under: uncultured bacterium
Lineage: Bacteria
Description: partial 16S ribosomal RNA
Rfam family: Bacterial small subunit ribosomal RNA
Source: RNAcentral
UACGGAGGGAGCUAGCGUUGUUCGGAAUUACUGGGCGUAAAGCGCACGUAGGCGGCUUUUUAAGUCAGGGGUGAAAUCCCGGGGCUCAACCCCGGAACUGCCCUUGAAACUGGAGAGCUAGAAUCUUGGAGAGGCGAGUGGAAUUCCGAGUGUAGAGGUGAAAUUCGUAGAUAUUCGGAAGAACACCAGUGGCGAAGGCGACUCGCUGGACAAGUAUUGACGCUGAGGUGCGAAGGCGUGGGGAGCAAACAGG